Molecule: ribosomal RNA, 281 nt
Filed under: uncultured bacterium
Lineage: Bacteria
Description: partial 16S ribosomal RNA
Rfam family: Bacterial small subunit ribosomal RNA
Source: RNAcentral
ACUCCUACGGGAGGCAGCAGUGGGGAAUAUUGCACAAUGGGGAAAGCCCAUCGAUGCAGCCAUGCCGCGUGUGUGAAGAAGGCCUUCGGGUUGUAAAGACACUUUCAGCGAGGAGGAAAGGGUGUGUGCUAAUACCAUACAUCUGUGACGUUACUCGCAGAAGAAGCACCGGCUAACUCCGUGCCAGCAGCCGCGGUAAUACGGAGGGUGCGAGCGUUAAUCGGAAUUACUGGGCGUAAAGCGUGCGCAGGCGGUUUGUUAAGCGAGAUGUGAAAGCCCGG